AUAUUUAACAUUUCAAUAUAUAUUUUAUGUAAAAAUGCAUUUAUAUAAUAAAAUUGUAAUUAAAAUUGACAUUUUAAAACGGUUUGUUUUAAUGCCUGAGGUGACUUCCCCUCAUGCGAGUUGGUUUCGCUUCUAAUUUUGUGUCCGUAUGUCAGUUGUCUCUACCGCGCGAAAGGAAAUUUAUGCAAAUGUCAAUUACCCCGUGUUUAAGCCCAAUAUAUUGUUUAAAUGUUUGAAAUAUGUUUUUAAUCGACUUGUGUCUGUAAUACUGAACCGUUCUGGUGUGUUGGUGCUGUAAACUCCCGUUGAGCUCAAACUCUUAAUCUCACGCGAGUCUCAGAUGGAGAACUUUAUUCUGAUGAAGAGAUCGGCAGAGGUAGCAGAUCGGUGGUGUUUAAGGGCAGAAUGAAAGGCUACAUACAUUUCGUUCGUGGCCACCAUCUGCAAUGACAAAUCAAAGAGACCCGAACUCACAAACCAUGUUUGAGACUUGCUCAUGAAGUAAAGCACGACAAUGUG
Long non-coding RNA from Carassius carassius (crucian carp), 519 nucleotides. RefSeq lists it as uncharacterized. The transcript has 3 exons. The record is from RefSeq and is a predicted model, not a curated record. NCBI's taxonomy places the organism in Eukaryota, Metazoa, Chordata, Actinopteri, Cypriniformes, Cyprinidae.